RNAcentral lists this ribosomal RNA (253 nucleotides) under uncultured bacterium. RNAcentral describes it as "partial 16S ribosomal RNA". It matches the Rfam family "Bacterial small subunit ribosomal RNA", at positions 524 to 776 of the family's 1533-position model. The record is from RNAcentral.
UACGAGGGGGGCGAGCGUUGUUCGGAAUUAUUGGGCGUAAAGGGUGCGUAGGCGGUUUGGUAAGUCUUGUGUGAAAUCUACAGGCUCAACUUGUAGUCUGCACGAGAAACUGCCGGGCUUGAGUAUGGGAGAGGUGAGUGGAAUUCCUGGUGUAGCGGUGAAAUGCGUAGAUAUCAGGAGGAACACCAGUGGCGAAGGCGGCUCACUGGACCGGAACUGACGCUGAGGCGCGAAAGCGUGGGGAGCAAACGGG